CCUACGUGUGGCAGCAGUGAGGAAUAUUGGUCAAUGGACGAGAGUCUGACGCAGCGACGCCGCGUGAGGGAUGAAGGUCUUCGGAUCGUAAACCUCUGUCAGCAGGGAAGAACGGUCACUGUGCUAAUCAGCAGUGAAUUGACGGUACCUGCAAAGGAAGCACCGGCUAACUCCGUGCCAGCAGCCGCGGUAAUACGGAGGGUGCGAGCGUUAAUCGGAAUUACUGGGCGUAAAGCGCUCGUAGGCGGUAUGUCAAGUCAAGGGUGAAAUCCCCGCGCUCAACGUGGGAACUGCCUUUGAAACUGGCAAACUGGAGUGUGUGAGAGGAUAGUGGAAUUCCAGGUGUAGGAGUGAAAUCCGUAGGUAUCUGGAGGAACAUCAGUGGCGAAGGCGACUAUCUGGCACAUAACUGACGCUGAGGAGCGAAAGCGUGGGUAGCAAACAGGAUUAGAUACCCCUGUAGUC
RNAcentral lists this ribosomal RNA (465 nucleotides) under uncultured bacterium. RNAcentral describes it as "partial 16S ribosomal RNA". It matches the Rfam family "Bacterial small subunit ribosomal RNA", at positions 338 to 795 of the family's 1533-position model. The record is from RNAcentral.